UUAUAAGAGACAGCAGCCGCCGCGGUAAUACGUAGGUGGCAAGCGUUGUCCGGAAUUAUUGGGCGUAAAGGGCUAGCAGGCGGUUUCUUAAGUCUGAUGUGAAAGCCCCCGGCUCAACCGGGGAGGGUCAUUAGAAACUGGGAAACUUGAGUGCAGAAGAGGAGAGUGGAAUUCCACGUGUAGCGGUGAAAUGCGUAGAGAUGUGGAGGAACACCAGUGGCGAAGGCGACUCUCUGGUCUGUAACUGACGCUGAGGAGCGAAAGCGUGGGGAGCGAACAGGAUUAGAUACCCCGGUAGUCCCUGUCUCUUAUAA
Molecule: ribosomal RNA, 314 nt
Filed under: uncultured bacterium
Lineage: Bacteria
Description: partial 16S ribosomal RNA
Rfam family: Bacterial small subunit ribosomal RNA
Source: RNAcentral